This 100-nucleotide small nuclear RNA is filed under the name Suricata suricatta (meerkat). The record is from RNAcentral. Lineage: Eukaryota; Metazoa; Chordata; Mammalia; Carnivora; Herpestidae.
GCGUUCACUUCAGCAGCACAUAUAUUGAAACAGGAAUGAUACAGAGAAGAUUAGCAUGAGCGAAGAUGACAUGCAAAUUUGUGAAAUGUUCCAUAUUAAC